Long non-coding RNA from Rana temporaria (common frog), 663 nucleotides. RefSeq lists it as uncharacterized. Lineage: Eukaryota; Metazoa; Chordata; Amphibia; Anura; Ranidae. The transcript is spliced from 5 exons. The record is from RefSeq and is a predicted model, not a curated record.
UUAAACUGAUUCUACAUAAUGAAACACACGAGAUCCUGUGCACACCUGAGUGUCAUUAUAUCACACACCUGUGUCUCCCUGCUCAGCACAGACCUGCCAGAUCACAUCUCUCAUAACAGCAAGACAAGCUGCACAAUCUGCAAGUUUAAGUGUGGCAGAAGUCUGUACACAUCAGUCCUGAAGAAUUUACCAAUCAUAGCACUGAGAGGUUGUGCUGAAAAUGGAGUGCCAAGAAGUCACAUAGUGGUACGAAGUGGCAAAGUGGCUGAGGCCAAGUUAAGUCCGUUUACUAUCUGAAUGAAGCCUCCACGGGGGAAAGGAACACGUAUAUAGACAUCAGAAAAGAACAGAACAGAAAUAUAAAUGGCAGGCAAGAGAAGCAAAAUCAAGUCAAAUAUAAAAAAGGUUUAAAGAGGAGUAAGAAAAAAAAAAAGAGGACGAAAAGUCCAUCCAGACCAGCAUGCAAGAGCAACGCAUCUGACAAGCGACAACGGUUAUGGGAAGGAUCGUCAGACAGGACAUCAUUGGCUGUCAGUCUUCAGUGACACAGAGAAUCCUCACAUUCAAUGACCAAAGGAUGGCCACCACCUCUUCAUCCUGGAUGACUUCCAGCGAUCCCGACACCACAAAGCACAGAGCAUCAACACUUUCGCCGGCAUGGUA